GUUUUUCUACACAUGUGUAAUCUCUAGCUUUUAAGCUAUCAUUGAAUGAAAUAUCCACUUUGUGGGAGAUCUAUGCUUCUAGCAAGAUUGAUUAUAGUGAAAACUUUGUAAGAAUUUGUCAUCACUAUCAUGAGACAAAGCACCAUUGACAUAGUUACUAGAAGAUUUAUGGUGAGAACUAUCAACAUUCACUUCAGGAAACAUACAUACUAGAGGAAGAGUCCAACAAAUAUUAAUAACAUGUUGAUGUUUAGGUUGCAUAUUAGUUUGAAUUAGUUUCCAAAUUACGAAAACUUUUGCUAAAAGGAAAAAAAAAUGGUAUAGAAAAGCAUCGCAGUAGGCUGUGAUUCGCGACAUUCCAACUAUAUUGACAUUUGAAGCCUAACUAUCAUUUGCAACAAUCAUAGGGGACAUGCACCGUACCCUUGAAAGGAAGCAAGAUAAACAUAAAAUUCCUAAACGACGAAAUCAAGCCAGCACAGCUGCAAAAUAUAAAUCUUAUCACAUCUUUUAAAAUAGACGGAAGAAGUAAUAUCAAGUAAUCCGAGUUAUGCAUUAAACUCACCACGAUAGAUAGUGUUUGGGAUCAAACUGUUUGACCACUUGGACAUUCAGAACAUCUUCGCCCUUUCAAGCUUGACACUUGGGACUGUGUUUGGUACCAAACUGUUUGACUACUCGAUCAUUCAGAAUUUCCUUUCUCUUCAGGUUUGAGACUCAACGCCUGUGCUCGAUACCAAACAGUUUGGCCACCCGGGCAUUCAACCAGGCUUGACACUCAGGGGUUGUGUUCUGUAUCAGUAUGACUGAGUAUAAUACUCAAGGCAACUGGAGUACUCGGUCCUUCCUGAUAGAAUCGCUUUGCUAAUCCCGUUGUCCAUAUGGUCCAAAGACACAAGGCCCAUAAAGUUUUAUUAACGCAUAGGCAGUCUCCCAACAUGGUCCAGAGUUUCUUAAUAGUAGGAGGAAUAUGUGACGGGUGCUCUUUUGCCCCCCCCUAUUGCUCUUUAUUUUGCGAAACUACAUUCAGCAGUUAUCUCCCGAAGCCUUUAAAAGAGCAAACAUCGGAAUAUGUUGUCUAAGAUUAUUCUCUCUAUAGCGCUCAGGUCUUUCUCAUUGUAAUUUGUCUUGAUAUUGAGCUUUUUGCCAGUAUCACUCUUGGUUCUUUGCUUUGUCUUUUCAUUUUGAUGUCUGAUGGUUGAGUUUUAUUAUAAUAUACUCUUUAUCACAGGCUUUGUCAAAUUUACUUAUUGAUAAUGUUUUUCAUCACGAGCAAUUGUGAUCUAUAUUCUUUUCUUG
Molecule: long non-coding RNA, 1299 nt
Filed under: Medicago truncatula (barrel medic)
Lineage: Eukaryota; Viridiplantae; Streptophyta; Magnoliopsida; Fabales; Fabaceae
Description: long non-coding RNA (MTRU_LNC004392)
Source: RNAcentral